RNAcentral lists this ribosomal RNA (450 nucleotides) under uncultured Gammaproteobacteria bacterium. RNAcentral describes it as "bacterial SSU rRNA". It matches the Rfam family "Bacterial small subunit ribosomal RNA", at positions 45 to 490 of the family's 1533-position model. Lineage: Bacteria; Pseudomonadati; Pseudomonadota; Gammaproteobacteria. The record is from RNAcentral.
GGCCUAACACAUGCAAGUCGAGCGGAUGAGAAGAGCUUGCUCUUCGAUUCAGCGGCGGACGGGUGAGUAAUGCCUAGGAAUCUGCCUGGUAGUGGGGGACAACGUUUCGAAAGGGACGCUAAUACCGCAUACGUCCUACGGGAGAAAGCAGGGGACCUUCGGGCCUUGCGCUAUCAGAUGAGCCUAGGUCGGAUUAGCUAGUUGGUGAGGUAAUGGCUCACCAAGGCGACGAUCCGUAACUGGUCUGAGAGGAUGAUCAGUCACACUGGAACUGAGACACGGUCCAGACUCCUACGGGAGGCAGCAGUGGGGAAUAUUGGACAAUGGGCGAAAGCCUGAUCCAGCCAUGCCGCGUGUGUGAAGAAGGUCUUCGGAUUGUAAAGCACUUUAAGUUGGGAGGAAGGGCAGUAAGCGAAUACCUUGCUGUUUUGACGUUACCGACAGAAUAAG